GACGAACGCUGGCGGCGUGCUUAACACAUGCAAGUCGAACGGAAAGGCCCUGCUUUUGUGGGGUGCUCGAGUGGCGAACGGGUGAGUAACACGUGAGUAACCUGCCCUUGACUUUGGGAUAACUUCAGGAAACUGGGGCUAAUACCGGAUAGGAGCUCCUGCUGCAUGGUGGGGGUUGGAAAGUUUCGGCGGUUGGGGAUGGACUCGCGGCUUAUCAGCUUGUUUGUGUGGUAGUGGCUUACCAAGGCUUUGACGGGUAGCCGGCCUGAGAGGGGGACCGGCCACAUUGGGACUGAGAGACGGACCAGACUCCUACGGGAGGCAGCAGGGGGGAAUAUUGCACAAUGGGCGGGAGCCUGAUGCGGCAACGCCGCGUGCGGGAUGACGGCCUUCGGGUUAUAAACCGCUUUCGCCUGUGACGAAGCGGGAGUGACGGUAAUGGGUAAAGAAGCACCGGCUAACUACGUG
This 468-nucleotide ribosomal RNA is filed under the name uncultured bacterium. Its description in RNAcentral is "partial 16S ribosomal RNA". It matches the Rfam family "Bacterial small subunit ribosomal RNA", at positions 28 to 507 of the family's 1533-position model. The record is from RNAcentral.